UCACUUCUUUGCUCACAGGUGGUACCUGCUGUGUGCUGGAGCAUCCCAGACUCCUCCAUGGUGCUGACCACAGCCGAGCAGCCCUGGCAUGAGCAGCAGAGUGGAGGUGGCACAGAGGAGACCAGGGAAUGUGCUCUGGCACAGAGAAAGCUUUCCUGUGUUCUGGAGAAGUGGAGGCAAGGAUCCUGCCUCACAGCCCUGCUCUGCAUCAGCCUCCCAGGCAGGAGCUGUGGCUGCCAUGUGGAGGAAUCCCCAGUGAUGGAUCACUGCUGGUGAGGACACUCGAGACCAGACGAGUCUGAUGGGCAGUGGAGAACUUGUCUAUGCCCCGGGUCUGUUCAGGGUCUGGCAGGAGGGACAGCAGAGCCCCCACAGACCCCAGCUCAUCUUCUCCAUCCCUCCAGCAGCAGGGCACGACAGAUCCUUCCCCUGACCACUUAAAGUCUUUCAGGAUGUGAGGAUGACAGUUGCAGCUUCAGUCCCGGGUGGCUGCUGACCCUCUGCACACCCGGGGGUCCCACAUUCCACAGGAAUCUCUGGCUCUGGGAUAUUUGUGACAGGAGGAGGAGAAGGAGGUGGUGGCUGCUGCAGCGAGAGCGACGGGGCCGCUGAGAAGCAGAGGCUGUGAGCUGGUAUUAACAGUGAGGCCAAUUAAGGAGACCAGGAAUUAAGUCAGUCUGAUACCUGUUUGGGCUCUUCCAGCUUCUCUCCUGCAUGGGCUGCUGCUCCAGAGCACAGGAGAGUGUCUGCCCAGAGCCUCUGUCCAGGAACAGCCCUGUGGUGGCAGGAAUGCUCUGCCCAUGGGCACAGGCCAGCACAGCCAGGGCAGGAGCCCGGCGAUGAAACAUCCAGUGUGGGCCUGGCACUUCCUUGGAUAAAGCUCUUGCAAGGGACAGAUCACCUGAGGCAUCAACAGCUGCUUUGAACUUGGCAGCUUCCUCACCUGGAAAAAGCCCCAGGAGCACUUGGGAGCUCUGGCUGGCCGCCUGCCUUGCCCUGGGAUCCCUGGAGAGGCUGGAGGACUGAUCCUAGUGCUGCCAGCACAGGGCAGGGUUGGAAUGAGGGGACAGCUGUGGCUGCUCUUGCCUGUCCCAGCAGGGCUGUCCCCUGCAGUCACACUGCUCUGGGGAGGGAGAGGGUGAGCUGGGCUCCCAGGGCUCCUGGCGCUCCCUGGGCUGCUCCUGGGAGGUGCACGAUCCUAACACUCGAUUCCUAGAAAUCGCUGCCAGCCUGUGGGAGCUCUGGGAAGCAGCAGGGUCACGCCAGGGCUGUUGAGUUGGUCCCAGGCACUGUGCCACGUCUCGGGAAGGAUGAGGAAGGACCAGGAGGGCUGAGGGUUCACAGCAGCCUGGUCUGGAGGAGGCUGCUGGGGGGAGGGCCUGGGUCGUGGUUUGACCCCAGUCCUCCUCUGCCACUGCCCCUUCUUAAAAACAGGAAAGAAUUAAAUCCUGUCAGUGGCUUUUAAAAGCCAACUGAAAGUGUCCUUUAUUAAAUUACCACCCUAUUGAUCUCGGAGCCAUCCAGGAGGGGAUUGACUGAGGGCUUAAACAGCCGGGCAGCCGGGCCAGACGCUCAAUUAAUGUGCAUAAACGGGCAGUGGAGAAGCAAUUUUCAGAACAAGUCAAGCAAAAGAUCAGACCUGCUUUGCCUUCCAUGCCGAAGUUGUUUCUGUAUUUAUUUUCAUGUUAUUUCAUCUGUUUUUCCCCCUGUCCCUCUUAUGAUAAGCAGAGUGUUGAGAGGCAGCUCUCAGAGCACAGCCCGCUCUGCCCAGAGCACGUUGGCAGGAGGGGUGGGGGAAGCCACAUCCCUCGAAGGACUCAUCCCUCAGGGGGCUUUUAGCCACGUAAAUCCCAGGUUUCACACAUGAGGGGGUUUUUAGCUGUGUAAAUCCCAGGUUCUUCUUUAAUUCCUGCAGAGAAGGCCCUGUGCAGCAUCAGACCCGGCGCCUGGUCUGAGCAUUGAUGUCUCUGAUGAACCUUGAAUUCCUCUUCCAGGUCUGGGGAAGAAUUUUGUGAAGAAACCCCUGUUUCUUGAUUGUCUCCUCCCAGCUGUUCACCAUGUGAUAAUUCCAGCUGCCUGCCAGGGGCAAAGCCACCCAUGGAUGUACAAAUAUCCAGCUUUGCUCUGGCCUUUCCUGUGGAUGCUCCAAGGAACCUGCAGAUGGGACUGAAGCAGAGGACACUCUGGAAGGCAAAUCCCUGCUCUGCACAUGAGAGCAAACCAGAGCCCUGUGUGGGUUUUUCUCGAGAUUUAGCAAGAAUCCUGAUAAGAAACUCUGGCUCCAGGGCUGUCAGUCCAGCUCCCCCAGCUCCAGGGCUUUGCUCCUCGUCUCCCUUAAGCCAGAGGGCUCAGCUCCAUGGCUUGACUGACACGAAGCGUUCCAGCAUCAGAGACUGAGAGACAAACGAGCAAUUUGCCGAGAAAUUAUCCUUUGGGAUUCCUCUUCUCUCCAGUUGGUUUAAUUGGGUGAGCUCAGGGUGGCUUUAAUUGCUGUGCUCCAAGCACAGCUUCACCCCCUCCUUGCUUUUUUGUCUCCCAUCUCUCUCCUUCCCCCUCCUCCUUCCCAGCACCAUUUAUCUUCUUCCUCCUACAGCGUCUCCCCUUCUUGUUUUUUCCCCAAUAUCUCUUGGGAAUGGUGACAAGCUGAAAUGUUGUUUGAGUCUCUCCUGGCUGACAGGUUCUUUAAGAAUCUGGUGCUUCUCAGAGGGUGAUGGACUGGCUCGGGGAUCCCUUGGAUUCCCCGGGGGUUUGGGGUGGCUGUGGCAGGGAGUGG
Molecule: long non-coding RNA, 2773 nt
Organism: Pseudopipra pipra
Lineage: Eukaryota; Metazoa; Chordata; Aves; Passeriformes; Pipridae
Exons: 7
Source: RefSeq, a predicted model, not a curated record